Molecule: ribosomal RNA, 252 nt
Filed under: uncultured bacterium
Lineage: Bacteria
Description: partial 16S ribosomal RNA
Rfam family: Bacterial small subunit ribosomal RNA
Source: RNAcentral
UACGUAGGUCCCGAGCGUUGUCCGGAUUUAUUGGGCGUAAAGCGAGCGCAGGUGGUUUAUUAAGUCUGGUGUAAAAGGCAGUGGCUCAACCAUUGUAUGCAUUGGAAACUGGUAGACUUGAGUGCAGGAGAGGAGAAUGGAAUUCCUAGUGUAGCGGUGAAAUGCGUAGAGAUUAGGAAGAACACCAGUGGCGAAGGCGAUUCUCUGGCCUGUAACUGACACUGAGGCUCGAAAGCGUGGGGAGCAAACAGG